Molecule: ribosomal RNA, 430 nt
Filed under: uncultured archaeon
Lineage: Archaea
Description: bacterial SSU rRNA
Rfam family: Archaeal small subunit ribosomal RNA
Source: RNAcentral
UACCAGCUCUCCGAGUGGUAGGGAUGAUUACUGGGCCUAAAGCAUCCGUAGCUUGCUAAGCAAGUCCCCUGUUAAAUCCACCGAUCUAAUCGUUGGAUUGCGGGGGAUACUGUUUGGCUAGGGGACGGGAGAGGCCGACGGUAUUUCCGGGGUAGGGGUGAAAUCCUAUAAUCCCGGGAAGACCACCAGUGGCGAAGGCUGUCGGCUAGAACGCGCCCGACGGUGAGGGAUGAAAGCUGGGGGGAGCGAACCGGAUUAGAUACCCGGGUAGUCCCAGCUGUAAACGAUGCAGGCUAGGUGUUUGGGCGGCCAAGAGCCGCUCUAGUGCCGCAGGGAAGCUGUUAAGCCUGCCGCCUGGGGAGUACGGCCGCAAGGCUGAAACUUAAGGAAUUGGCGGGGGAGCACCACGAAGGGGUGAAGCUUGCGGUUU